GACAGCGGCUGCUCAGGCACCCGCACGGACCCCGUCUCGGACACCCGGGCAGGGCUUUUUCAAUUUCAAACAGCUGCGAAUAAUGAGAUGCCUUUCAUUCGGGGUUGGGUUCUUUGCCCGUUAUUCCUUCGAGGUGAGAUGCAAGACACGUGGAGAGGAGGGAACCACUAGAUCAGGUUCAGUAAUAACCUUUUUUGGUUUACUGUAUAUCUACAUUUGGUCACAUAAAUGUGCUUACUAACACA
Molecule: long non-coding RNA, 245 nt
Filed under: Cyanistes caeruleus (blue tit)
Lineage: Eukaryota; Metazoa; Chordata; Aves; Passeriformes; Paridae
Description: lncRNA (ENSCCEG00000013691.1)
Source: RNAcentral